Thunnus maccoyii (southern bluefin tuna) is the source of this 1504-nucleotide long non-coding RNA. RefSeq lists it as uncharacterized. The transcript has 4 exons. The record is from RefSeq and is a predicted model, not a curated record. NCBI's taxonomy places the organism in Eukaryota, Metazoa, Chordata, Actinopteri, Scombriformes, Scombridae.
AAUAACAAUACCACAAUGAAAAAAUACUCCAUUGCAAGUGUAAAUGUUGCACCAUGACACAAUCUAAUUACUUGUUGCACGUCACAUUUCAUUUUUGCACUUGUCUACUUCAUAUAUUUCAUACACUUCAUUUCUUUGUCCAUAGCACAAUCUAUAUUUCCGUCAAUGUUUAGGGCCCGAGCACCGAACGGUGCGAAGGCCCUAUUGGAUCUGAAGGAGGAUUUUAUGUCUCGCAAAAAGGCGGGGCAAAAUGGCUCAACAGCGCCCCCUAGAAAACUAAGAAAAUUGAGCCCCUCGAUACAGAUUGUCAUAGAAGAAUGAAAUUCGGUGUACUUAUGUAUCAUGACCAGACGCACCAAAAAGUCUCUUACACACAUACCAUAAGUCCAACAGGAAGCCAUUUUGAAUUAAAGUUGCCAUUUUGACUCAGAUUUUGCCAUUUCCAGCCUGCAUACUUUAACGAACUCCUCCUAGAAAUUUGACCUCAGCAACUUCAAAUUCAGUCAGUAUCAUCUACAGACCUUGGAAAUGAAAAGUUAUCAAAACAGUAAGUUUUCGACAUUGCCAAGGGGGCGUGGCCGGGCGGUGAAUUUCGAUCCUUCGCCAUGAAUAUUGAAACGGCCAUAACUCCAGCAUACAUGAUCCCAAGACCCAAGCCUUCUGUGCUUGAAAAGAGUCUCGCCACAUCAAUGUGUUUUUACCCAGCGGUAAUCAAACUCCAGGCCUCAGUUGAGGAGUCCUGUCGGUAGAGAUUGAGGGCCAUGUUCGACCCAGGGACGCCCAUCGCAGUAUUCAGCACAUGGGUGGUCAGAGGACUAGGCAAAAUAUGACCUUUGAGUUGCUGCAGCCUGUAUGCACUCAUGUGUGCUGUUGAAUAAAAUCCAAAGUGGGUCAGCAGUCCUGACUGAAAAAUAAGACCAGUUGUGCAAGAGCGUCUUUUGUCACACUUUGCUUUCAGCACUUUGAACUUAGUGGAAAUGGAUGAUCAAAGUGGACUACACUGAGGCUGAGGCACAUGCAGAUGAGUACGAUUAAUGGAUUUUUUUAAAAAGUAUUUUUUAUUUUCUGAUAUUCCUAUAUUUGACUGCUGGGUUAAUGAUCUUCCUGUACAACUUCCUGCUUGAAUUCCACAAACAUGUGCUCAUGUGCUUAUUACAUGUGAUACAUUUUCCCCACAGUCUCUGAUUCUAAUAAAAUUCAAACUUCUAAGGGUUGAAUAUAAUAUUUUUAAAUAUGGAGGAUCUUCUGGGCUACAACCUUGACAACAAGCAUGACUUUGUAAAUAAGUUCAAUCAUGGUGAUCAUGCUGGCUUUUGAUCCAAAGACUACAGUGUGCUUUAAGUAGUCUAAUGCACAUUGCUGAUUAUAUUAUAAUACAAAAUUAUAUUAAAAAAAAACUUUUAUCAUGACAGAAAAUGAUCUGGCAGGGGUGUUUGUCUACUCUUUAUUUCUGAUCAUGCUUUAUAAAAUGAGAAUGUCCUAAUAAAGCACCUUGAAUCUCCCA